This 1062-nucleotide long non-coding RNA is filed under the name Zonotrichia albicollis (white-throated sparrow). RNAcentral's name for it is "lncRNA (ENSZALG00000011010.1)". Lineage: Eukaryota; Metazoa; Chordata; Aves; Passeriformes; Passerellidae. The record is from RNAcentral.
UAAAGAUCCUUACAGACCAGCACCCCUUGGAUCUCUGAGAGCCAGCCUCAGUAAAUUGAGAGUUAGCAGAGAUCAUGAUACUCAUUCUGUACUGUGCCUGCCAGAGGAACCGCCAAAAGCUUGAAGAGAAGGCUUGGGAAUUGUAAUUUCAUCCUGUGCUGAAAGGAACUGCUUGCUCACAGGAAUUAAGUAAAUUCUCAAACAGCAUAAAAGUGUAGAGGAAGAACUGAGGAAUGCUUUUAAUUCAGCUGCAGAAAUAUAUCCAGAGUGUAAGUAUUUAUGUUGGAAUUUGAUCAGGAGGUUUCAACUUCCAGUCUUUCAUGCUGAGAACUGCAAUGGCAGCUUCCUAGCUACCUCAUAUGGACAUGGGUUUCUCUGCACUGAUAGCUGAAGAGCAUUUCCUAACUCUGUGAUUCCUAGCUCCCUGGAAUUUCUAAUUAAUUCUAAUUCUAAUUUAAUUCUGAUCAAUUCUACCUUUUGAAUUAUUGAUUUUUUUUUAACUAUCUCCUUACUCUCUAGGAUUGGCCAUUGGCCAGAGCCAUCACUACUCAGCUGAUGAGAUGUUGUCAAACAAGCAUUGCUAGAUAGUGCUUUUUAUUAAAAACAACUAUGUGCGUUUGAUGCUCAAGUAGUUAGAACACUUCUCUUUCCUGGUUUGUGCAAAGAGAUGAUUCUGCAGCACUGCAGGGCUGCCUUUGGGUAGUUUUAACUCCCAAAUUUCUUAUGCUCCCCUCCACCACCUUUUCUGUGCCUGUUGUGUGUAUAUCCAUCCCUCUUCACUCCACCAUCCACUCCAUUCUAAGCCAGCAAGCUACUGAUAAAGCUCUUGAUGAGGCACUGAAACCAGUACCAACACUGCAUCUUCCUUCCUGCUGGAGAAGAUGGGUGUUUGAUAAGCACGAAGCUUUACACAGGAGCUACAGCUAUAAACUGCUGUUGGUUACUGAGGAACAAGAGCUUCAAUUCAUGCUUCUUGGAGAAUAAAGCCUGCCAACCCCAUUCUGAUUUAGAACAAAAAUAUGGAUCAGUUGAGACUGUUCAACCACUCACAGAAAAAUCCAG